UCUGGUGAUGACGGCGUAGAGGUAACACUCCUUUCCAUUCCGAACAGGACAGUUAAGGUCUACAGCGCUGAUGGUACUGCACGGGAGACUGUGUGGAAGAGUAAGACGUCGCCAGGU
This is a ribosomal RNA of Clostridium saccharobutylicum DSM 13864, 117 nucleotides long. The record is from Rfam. Lineage: Bacteria; Bacillati; Bacillota; Clostridia; Eubacteriales; Clostridiaceae.